Molecule: transfer RNA, 55 nt
Filed under: Biostraticola tofi
Lineage: Bacteria; Pseudomonadati; Pseudomonadota; Gammaproteobacteria; Enterobacterales; Bruguierivoracaceae
Rfam family: tRNA
About the family: Transfer RNA (tRNA) molecules are approximately 80 nucleotides in length.
Source: Rfam by way of RNAcentral
GUUGAGAUGGUAGAACGGCAGCUUCCCAAGCUGCAUACGAGGGUUCGAUUCCCUU